Molecule: ribosomal RNA, 277 nt
Filed under: uncultured Staphylococcus sp.
Lineage: Bacteria; Bacillati; Bacillota; Bacilli; Caryophanales; Staphylococcaceae
Description: partial 16S ribosomal RNA
Rfam family: Bacterial small subunit ribosomal RNA
Source: RNAcentral
GUGCCAGCAGCCGCGGUAAUACGUAGGUGGCAAGCGUUAUCCGGAAUUAUUGGGCGUAAAGCGCGCGUAGGCGGUUUUUUAAGUCUGAUGUGAAAGCCCACGGCUCAACCGUGGAGGGUCAUUGGAAACUGGAAAACUUGAGUGCAGAAGAGGAAAGUGGAAUUCCACGUGUAGCGGUGAAAUGCGCAGAGAUAUGGAGGAACACCAGUGGCGAAGGCGACUUUCUGGUCUGUAACUGACGCUGAUGUGCGAAAGCGUGGGGAUCAAACAGGAUUAG